Molecule: ribosomal RNA, 465 nt
Filed under: uncultured bacterium
Lineage: Bacteria
Description: partial 16S ribosomal RNA
Rfam family: Bacterial small subunit ribosomal RNA
Source: RNAcentral
GACGAACGCUGGCGGUGUGCUUAACACAUGCAAGUCGAACGGUAAGGCCCUUUCGGGGGUACACGAGUGGCGAACGGGUGAGUAACACGUGAGUAACCUGCCCUCAUCUCUGGGAUAACAGUCGGAAACGGUUGCUAAUACUGGAUAUGAGCCUGCAAGGCAUCUUGUGGGUUGGAAAGAUUUUUUGGUUGGGGAUGGACUCGCGGCCUAUCAGCUUGUUGGUGAGGUAGUGGCUCACCAAGGCUUUGACGGGUAGCCGGCCUGAGAGGGCGACCGGCCACAUUGGGACUGAGAUACGGCCCAAACUCCUACGGGAGGCAGCAGUGGGGAAUAUUGCACAAUGGACGGUAGUCUGAUGCAGCAACGCCGCGGGCGGGAUGACGGCCUUCGGGUUGUAAACCGCUUUCAAUUGUGACGAAGCUUUUUGUGACGGUAGCAGUAGAAGAAGCACCGGCUAACUACGUG